UAGCUUUAUUCUUGGCACAUAUGUGUGAAUGUGUCCAACAAUUCUGAUCUUUACUCUUUGAAAAUGUGAGAACAGAAACCGACAAGCUGAAGUUGAUGAAGGUGGAUACAGAGCAACAGUGAUCUGAUUAACGAGGACCACAAAGGGCCCCAGGCCCUGGUCUGCUCUGCAGACCUUGGGUUGUUUACAACCAGCAUCAAUGAUUUGACUGAAGGCUUAUGGAAUUAAUCCAGUUUGAGUGACUUCCUGGAGAAAUAUAUAAAGGGAAGAGGGGACUGGAUCCUUUAGUGAAUUCACUGGUUAAAUAUUACACACCAUCAAGGAUGGGUACGGAUCCCCAUUAAAAAAAAAAAAAGGUAGGAAGAUCUUUGACAGAUUGAAAUAGGAAAUGGGAAAAAAGAGAAGUCAGCAUAAAAAUUAGGAACUAUGGGUUCUUAGGUAAUUUUGCUUUCUGAUCUGGAAAAAUCAUAUUUCAUGCACAGUUUAUUUCUUUUCUUUGUUGUUUAAGUAUAAAUCAUGAAAGACUUUUAAUUAUAGCAAAAUGAUUACCAGUGUUUUCCAAGGCAGAGUGGGUUUUAUUCCUUUCAGGGUAAACUGAUGAUACAUGAUCCUGUUGUACCUUUCAUAAGACAGAGGCGUGUUUUGUUAACCUGCAUAUCACUGCUUUGUGUAAAACAGGGACUCGCGUUAUUUGGAGCCCACGUGCCCAGGGUGGGAGCUCACUAGCCAGCAGGUGGCAGCUGUCGCAGGGAGGUUCUGCGCCCGCGCAACGCUCUCUCCCGCCAGCGCCCACGCAGGCCCCGCCUGACCUCAACUCCUGAAAAAGUCCCGAGGAGAUUGGAGAGGAGAAGCUGGAGGUAGCUGAGAAGGCUGAGACUAAGGAGGAAUUUCAGGGUGCACGGACUGCUCUAGUUCCCAAAUGUGCUGCUCCAGCCUGAGGUCACAGACGCGGCUGCCGAAGCGCAGGUGUCCUGCGGCCUGUUCAGCGGUCCCUGCGGAGGCUGGAGCGUGCGGCCCGCUGCUGAGGACGGUCGGCGGCUCCCACUGCCCUGGCCACCGAGUGGGAGAGGAAGAAAUCACUGUCCUGGGAGGUUACUGUGUGAAGUCAUCCAAGUCAUUUCUCUGCUUCCUAGAAGUAUGGGAAAGCUGUAACUCAUAGCUUGAUGAAAUACUCCUAGAGGAACUUAAUAUGAAAUGGAUGGCCAGCUGGGAAAAAGGGAUUAUUUGAAAUGUAUGUGUCUGUGAGGUCCUUAAUGUCAAGGGAGAAAAUGUUGUUGUUUGUGUCCUUGUAUGAAGUUUAUUUUGUAAAUGUUUCAUGGACACUUGGGAAGUUUUUUUACAAUUGAUGAGUUCUGACCUAAUCAAUUAAAUUACUUUCUGUCUCCACUAUAAUGUUCACUUCGAAAAUAUGAUUAAAGAAAUUAAGAACUUUUUUUUUCCAAACCAGCCAAUUGAGUAAAUUUCAUGAACAUUAUAGAAUAUGUUCAGUUUAUAUUGUCUAAAUGUUCUAAACAUUCUAUGUACCUUUAAAAGAUGCUUGAGCUGCCUGAUAAAUAGGGUUAUCAAUUUCGCUAACUGCAGUUAAAUAGGUUUUAAAAAAAGAAUGAAGAGAUAACAUUAAUUUAUGUAUAUUGAAUAAAUCUUUAUAGAUUACCUAACUAUAUUCAAAAUAUAUACUAUACGACCAAUAAGAUCCACAGAUUAAGAAGCUAGGUAAGCUUAUAUUACAUAACGUCCCAUUAUUUUUCUUCAUAAACUACAGUGAGAUCUUUAAUUUUAUUUUUUCUUAACUCUUACCACAACAAAGAAAGAAAAUGAAGACUUUUUGAAAGAAUACAAACAGACUGGGCAUUACAAUCCAGGAAACAUAUACUUCUUUGUUUGGGACUAUAAACAAAUACAUAAAACAGCCAAAGUGAAAAAAAAAAUAAGAAUUGUUGAGUUAUAGGCUCCUAUCUCUGAACAUGGCAGGAAAUAGAAAUUAGGACUGAAAUGGGUAAAAUCAUUGAGUGUACAGCCACAAUUUCAGGAAAGAAAUGCAGACUUUCAGUUACAAUAUUGUGUUUACAUGAGUUAUAUGACCUCCAUAUAGGUCUGUGUUCUCAUUUCUGUCACAGGAUAGUGAUACUUUUAUAUGAGAAACAAAGAAAAAUAAUAAUACCUAAUGCUCACUGAAUGGUGACUAGAGACCAGCAAAACACUUAAAGCAUUUUACAUCUACUAACUCAUGCAAUCCUCAUAAAGGCCUUUUGAGGUAUGUAAUUCUAUCUCUCCAUUUGACCAAUGAGAAGAUGAAAGCAAAGCAAGGUUAAUUUGUGAUUCUUUUGUUAGAAAACAUGGGCAGUUUGAAUACAGGUCAUCCAUCUCUUAAGACUGGUGUGUGUAUGUGUGUGUGUGUGUAUUUGAAAAUAUACAUAAUGUAAACUUUACCAUUUUAACUAUUGUCAAGCAUGCACGUUAGUGGUAUUAAGUACAUUCACAAUAUUGUGCAACCAUCACCACCAGCCAUUUCCACAACUUCUUUGUCAUCCUGAAGAGAAAUUCUGUACCCUUUAGAUAAUAAAUCCUCAUUCCUCUUCUCUCCAGACCCAUAAUUUGUCUUUCGAAUUACUACUGACUUCUUUUUGGGUAAAUAAAGUAAAACUGAAUCUCUUUAAUAAAGAGGAAGCACAAAAACUGAAAAAGAAAGAAACAAAACACCAAAAAUCAGCAAAAAUUAUAUUAACAAAAAUCCUUUAUAAUGAAAAGUCUAAAGGAUGUAUUUUAGGCAGAAUGAAAAUAAUCCCAGAGGGAAGUUGUGAGUGCAAGAAGGGGGAGUUAUGAGUAAAGGUAUUGUUAAAUUUGUGAUUAAAUCUAAGCAAAUGUUGAAUGUAUAAAAUAAUAAUAAUAAAAUAUUUAAUUUCUGGCAUUAAAAAUGUAAUAGAAAUAAAUUAUCAGCCAAUGUAAAUUGCUAUGUAAAUUGAAAAGGAGAUACGAUCAGAGUUAAAGCAUCUAAGAUUCUAUUUUUUUUUAUUUUUCAAGAGGAAAUAAAUACUUUGACAAUUCUAAACUUUGUUAAGUAUGAAGUUUAAAAUAAAUAGAAUAGCUUCUAGAAGAAUAGACAAAGAUAUAUAACCCACUAAACAAAUUGAGAAGAAAAAAGUAAAAUGAUAAAAAAAGAAGACAUAAACUCAGUCUAAAUGAACAUAAGAAAGAUGAAAGAAACGCACACACCUACCAAAACAAAACAAAAGCAAAAAAUGGUUGAUACAGUUAUAGUGGAACUUAAAACUUAAUACAUACCACAAGAUAUUUACAUUAGAAAAGUAAAAACACCAACAUUAGUGAGUUUAGCUAAAAAAUUUAAAGAAACAAACACAAAGGACGUAGAAGGAAAAGAAUAUCAAAGAUAAAAUCAUAACUUAAUGAAAAUUUAAAAAUACAAUGAAAGUAAUCAGCAAAGCCUAAAGUUGAAAAGAUUUGAGAAAAUUAAUAAUAUAUGAAAACUCCUGGCUUGAUUAAUCAAAGACACAAUAUAAAAAAUAUAUUUGGGUUUUUUUAAAGAUUUUUUAUUUAUUCAUGAGAGACAGAGAGAGAGACAGAGAUAUAGGCAGAGGGAGAAGUAGACUCCCACGGGGACGCCAAUGGGGGACUAGAUCCCAGGACCCUAGAGCCGAAGGCAGACGCUCAACCACUAAGCCACCCAAGUGCCCCUAAAAAAGAUAUCUGUAAUGAAAAGGAGACAUAGUUAUAAAUGCUGCAGAAAUUAAACACAUUAUGAUGAGUUGUUAGUAGCAAAAUUAGUAUCAAAUGUUUUGAAAAUGUAGACAAAAUAAAUUCCUAAAAACGGAAAAUGUCAGAAUUGACGCAAGAAGUAAAAAGUUGAAUAGUCUAUAAUCAUUAAAAGUCUUUUCUGCAAAGAGAACAUCAGGCCCAAAUGGCUUUAUAGCAGAUAUUCCCAUUGUGCACAACGUUUCAAAGAAUAAAAAAAAAAAAGAAUGUCCUCAUAACACCUUUAUGGAGUUCUCAAACUGUGAUGUCAAGGAAAACCAGGAAAAAAAUUACUCACCAAGGAGUGUAAAUUCAGAAAAUUGAGCACAGAAUGGUUUAAAAGAAAUAGUACAUCAUGACACAACUGGAAUUACUCCAAAAACAUAGGAUCAAAUUUAUAAUAGAUUAUUACUCUCACUAUACUAAUAGAAUAAAAAGAGGAAAAUUAUCACCUCAAUAAAUAUGAAAAGGGGAUUUGAUAAAAUACAGUAUCUUUUUUUGUUUUUUU
Molecule: long non-coding RNA, 4258 nt
Filed under: Canis lupus familiaris (dog)
Lineage: Eukaryota; Metazoa; Chordata; Mammalia; Carnivora; Canidae
Description: lncRNA (ENSCAFG00040008531.1)
Source: RNAcentral